CUAAUUUUAGCAUUACAUAUACUAAAAUUGGAAUGAUACAGAGAUUAGCAUGGCCUCUGUGCAAAGAUGGUACACAAAUUUGUAAAAGUAAACUUUAUAUU
RNAcentral lists this small nuclear RNA (101 nucleotides) under Canis lupus familiaris (dog). Lineage: Eukaryota; Metazoa; Chordata; Mammalia; Carnivora; Canidae. The record is from RNAcentral.